This 538-nucleotide ribosomal RNA is filed under the name uncultured bacterium. Its description in RNAcentral is "bacterial SSU rRNA". It matches the Rfam family "Bacterial small subunit ribosomal RNA", at positions 8 to 502 of the family's 1533-position model. The record is from RNAcentral.
AGAGUUUGAUCCUGGCUCAGAACGAACGCUGGCAGCGUGGAUUAGGCAUGCAAGUCGAACGAGAAUCUCUUGGUUCAAUCUUUCGGGAGAGAACCUUUUGAGGAGAGUGGCGAAAGGGUGAGUAACGCGUGGGUAAUCUACCGUUAAGUUGGGGAUAACUUGGUGAAAACCGGGCUAAUACCGAAUGUGGUCAUUUGUCGCAUGGCUUAAUGAUUAAAGGUGGGGACCCCGAUUCGUCGGGGCCUGUCGCUUGACGAGGAACCCGCGUCCUAUCAGCUUGUUGGUGAGGUAACGGCUCACCAAGGCUUACGGGUAGCUGGUCUGAGAGGAUGAUCAGUCACACUGGGACUGAGACACUGCCCAGACUCCUACGGGAGGCUGCAGUCGAGGAUCAUUCGCAAUGCGCGAAAGCGUGACGAUGCGACGCUGCGUGGAGGAUGACGGCUUUCGGGUUGUAAACUCCUGUCAUCCGGGAACAAUGGCGCGGAGGGUAAUACUCUUCGUGUUUGAUGUACCGGAAGAGGAAGCCACGCUAACU